This 539-nucleotide ribosomal RNA is filed under the name uncultured bacterium. Its description in RNAcentral is "bacterial SSU rRNA". It matches the Rfam family "Bacterial small subunit ribosomal RNA", at positions 529 to 1071 of the family's 1533-position model. The record is from RNAcentral.
AAGGUGCAACGUUGUUCGGAAUUAUUGGGCGUAAAGGGCGCGUANGCGGCCUUAUAAGUCAGAUGUGAAAUCCCUCGGCUUAAUCGAGGAAGUGCAUUUGAAACUGUGAGGCUUGAGUAUGGGAGAGGAAAGUGGANNNCCUAGUGUAGAGGUGAAAUUCGUAGAUAUUAGGAAGAACAUCGGUGGCGAAGGCGGCUUUCUGGACCAAUACUGACGCUAAGGCGCGAAAGCAUGGGGAGCAAACAGGAUUAGAUACCCUGGUAGUCCAUGCCGUAAACUAUGAACACUAGGUGUUGAGGGAGUUAAACCCUUCAGUGCCGAAGCUAACGCAUUAAGUGUUCCGCCUGGGAAGUACGGUCGCAAGACUAAAACUCAAAGGAAUUGACGGGGGCCCGCACAAGCGGUGGAGUAUGUGGUUUAAUUCGACGCAACGCGAAGAACCUUACCUGGACUUGACAUCCCUUGACCGCUAUGGAAACAUACUUUCUCUUCNGAGACAANGAACAGUUGCUGCAUGCUGUCGUCACUCGUGUCCUGAA